This 155-nucleotide ribosomal RNA is filed under the name Streptococcus mutans. RNAcentral describes it as "partial 16S ribosomal RNA". It matches the Rfam family "Bacterial small subunit ribosomal RNA", at positions 1382 to 1533 of the family's 1533-position model. Lineage: Bacteria; Bacillati; Bacillota; Bacilli; Lactobacillales; Streptococcaceae. The record is from RNAcentral.
UGUACACACCGCCCGUCACACCACGAGAGUUUGUAACACCCGAAGUCGGUGAGGUAACCUUUUAGGGGCCAGCCGCCUAAGGUGGGAUGGAUGAUUGGGGUGAAGUCGUAACAAGGUAGCCGUAUCGGAAGGUGCGGCUGGAUCACCUCCUUUCU